Molecule: small nuclear RNA, 111 nt
Organism: Xenopus tropicalis (tropical clawed frog)
Lineage: Eukaryota; Metazoa; Chordata; Amphibia; Anura; Pipidae
Gene: U2
Rfam family: U2 spliceosomal RNA
About the family: U2 is a small nuclear RNA (snRNA) component of the spliceosome (involved in pre-mRNA splicing). Complementary binding between U2 snRNA (in an area lying towards the 5' end but 3' to hairpin I) and the branchpoint sequence (BPS) of the intron results the bulging out of an unpaired adenosine, on the BPS, which initiates a nucleophilic attack at the intronic 5' splice site, thus starting the first of two transesterification reactions that mediate splicing.
Source: Ensembl
ACCUCUUCUCGGCCUUUUGGCUAAGAUCAAGUGUAGUAUCUGUUCUUAUCAGUUCAGAUCUACUGAAGCAGGCUGAAGUCUGAAGAUCUGAAGCUCAGGAAGAGAAUCAUC